Molecule: transfer-messenger RNA, 360 nt
Filed under: human gut metagenome
Rfam family: transfer-messenger RNA
About the family: Bacterial tmRNA, also known as 10Sa RNA or SsrA, is named for its dual tRNA and mRNA-like properties.
Source: RNAcentral
GUAAUGGUUUCGACAGGCAGGGUGAAGUGCGGUAAGCAUACCGUGGUUGUGCACGUUAAAACACCGAGGUUUAUUAAAUAUAAACGCAAACACAAAUUAUGCUUUCGCUUGCUAGCAUAAGCAAGCCACUUUAAAUAAGUGUAACCUCUUAUUAUUUUUUGCUUGCGGAAAUAAUAAGGGUCAGACAGCAGGCUUUGAUGAAUACUCUUGCUUCGGAGUACGAUUCGAGAAAUAGAGCUAGUGAUUAAAAGGUAUUGUUUGUUUUCCUUUUAAUCAUAAAAACUAAAUGAAUAAACUAAGUAUGUAGAAAACUAAUGGAAUCUUGUUUGGACAGGAGUUCGACUCUCCUCUAGUCCACCA